AAUUGAACCUUUAGGUUCUAGAGGUCGAAUGCAAGUAGAAGCCUGAAAUAUAAAUUCCCAACCGGUCGAGCUCAAGCCUUAACAGGUUGAACUAGAAAGCAAAGUAGGAACAUGCAAUCCUUCAACCAGCUGAACUUUUUACUCAACCGGUGGAAACCCGACAAUGAAGAAAGCAGGCCCAACCAGUUGGUCCUAUUUGUUCAACCAGUUGGAGAAGGCCAAAAAUCCCCAGAGUCAACAUAGGAGGCUGAUUUUUUUAAGACUUUUUGGUACUUUCACUCCACAUUUUACAAGUCCUAUAUAUAAGAGGGGAUCUCAGCACUUGUGAGGAGCUACACACCCAAGGCUUUAAGCACUCUCCAUUCUUCAUCUGAAAAGAUCCUCCCAUUUUCUCUGCAUUUUAUUUUUUAUAUUUUUUUCAAGUUCUUAGAUUUAGUUUAGAGUAGCAGGUAGAGACUUAAAGAGGAGGAAGAAGAGCAUUUGUUUUGAAAUGGAAGUUUGUAAUUUUUGUUCUACUUUUGUUACAAUUUAAAUGGGUGUAAGUUUACUUGAAUUUUAAUUUUCAUUAUGUUAUUGAA
RNAcentral lists this long non-coding RNA (578 nucleotides) under Actinidia chinensis (golden kiwifruit). RNAcentral describes it as "long non-coding RNA (ACHI_LNC006637)". The record is from RNAcentral. Lineage: Eukaryota; Viridiplantae; Streptophyta; Magnoliopsida; Ericales; Actinidiaceae.